AGUGAACGCUGGCGGUAGGCCUAACACAUGCAAGUCGAACGGCAGCACAGUAAGAGCUUGCUCUUACGGGUGGCGAGUGGCGGACGGGUGAGGAAUACAUCGGAAUCUACUUUUUCGUGGGGGAUAACGUAGGGAAACUUACGCUAAUACCGCAUACGACCUACGGGUGAAAGCAGGGGAUCUUCGCACCUUGCGCGAUUGAAUGAGCCGAUGUCGGAUUAGCUAGUUGGCGGGGUAAAGGCCCACCAAGGCGACGAUCCGUAGCUGGUCUGAGAGGAUGAUCAGCGACACGGGAGCUGAGACACGGUCCAUACGCCUACGAGAGGCAGCAGUGGCGAAUAUUGGACAAUGGUCGCAAGCCUGAUCCAGCCAUACCGCGUGGGUGAAGAAGGCCUUCGGGUUGUAAAGCCCUUUUGUUGGGAAAGAAAAGCAGCAGGUUAAUACCCCGCUGUUCUGACGGUACCCAAAGAAUAAGCACCGGCUAACUUCGUG
This 492-nucleotide ribosomal RNA is filed under the name uncultured bacterium. Its description in RNAcentral is "partial 16S ribosomal RNA". It matches the Rfam family "Bacterial small subunit ribosomal RNA", at positions 29 to 507 of the family's 1533-position model. The record is from RNAcentral.